AGAGUUUGAUCCUGGCUCAGGAUGAACGCUAGCGGCAGGCCUAAUACAUGCAAGUCGAGGGGUAACAGAAAGUGCUUGCACUUUGCUGACGACCGGCGAACGGGUGAGUAACGCGUAUACAAUCUACCUCAUACUAGAGAAUAGCCCGAAGAAAUUUGGAUUAACACUCUAUAGUAUCAUUUAAAGACAUCUUUUUAUGAUUAAAGGUUACGGUAUGAGAUGAGUAUGCGUUCUAUUAGUUUGUAGGUGAGGUAACGGCUCACCUAGACUGCGAUAGAUAGGGGCCCUGAGAGGGGGACCCCCCACACUGGUACUGAGACACGGACCAGACUCCUACGGGAGGCAGCAGUAAGGAAUAUUGGUCAAUGGACGAAAGUCUGAACCAGCCAUGCCGCGUGCAGGAUGAAUGCCCUAUGGGUUGUAAACUGCUUUUUUACAGGAAGAAACCUUAGUACGUGUACUAAGUUGACGGUACUGUAAGAAUAAGCACCGGCUAACUCCGUGCCAGCAGCCGCGGUAAUACGGAGGGUGCAAGCGUUAUCCGGAUUUAUUGGGUUUAAAGGGUCCGCAGGCGGAACUUUAAGUCAGUGGUGAAAGCCUACAGCUCAACUUUAGAACUGCCAUUGAAACUGAAGUUCUUGAGUGUGGUUGAAGUGGGCGGAAUAUGUCAUGUAGCGGUGAAAUGCAUAGAUAUGACAUGGAACACCUAUUGCGAAAGCAGCUCACUAAACCAUUACUGACGCUCAUGGACGAAAGUGUGGGUAGCGAACAGGAUUAGAUACCCUGGUAGUCCACACCGUAAACUAUGAUCACUAGAUGUUGGCGAUAUAAUGUCAGUGUUAAAGAGAAAUCGUUAAGUGAUCCACCUGGGGAGUACGUUCGCAAGAAUGAAACUCAAAGGAAUUGACGGGGGCCCGCACAAGCGGUGGAACAUGUGGUUUAAUUCGAUGCAACGCGAAGAACCUUACCUAGACUUGACAUGUUAAAGAAAGCUUUGUGAAAACAAAGG
Molecule: ribosomal RNA, 1009 nt
Filed under: marine metagenome
Description: bacterial SSU rRNA
Rfam family: Bacterial small subunit ribosomal RNA
Source: RNAcentral